GGCUCGUUAGCUCAGCCGGAUAGAGCGAUCGGUUUCUACCCGAUAGGUCGAAGUUUCGAAUACUUCACGAGUCG
RNAcentral lists this transfer RNA (74 nucleotides) under Phyllobacterium bourgognense. RNAcentral describes it as "tRNA-Arg". It matches the Rfam family "tRNA". Rfam says of the family: Transfer RNA (tRNA) molecules are approximately 80 nucleotides in length. Their secondary structure includes four short double-helical elements and three loops (D, anti-codon, and T loops). Lineage: Bacteria; Pseudomonadati; Pseudomonadota; Alphaproteobacteria; Hyphomicrobiales; Phyllobacteriaceae. The record is from RNAcentral.